GUGUCAGCAGCCGCGGUAAUACGUAGGGGGCAAGCGUUACUCGGAUUUAUUGGGCGUAAAGAGAAUUCAGGCGGUCAUGUAAGUCAGUGGUGAAAUACCUCGGCUCAACUGAGGAAUUGCCUUUGAUACUGCGUGACUCGAGGACAGGAGAGGAAGGCGGAAUUCCCGGUGUAGCGGUGGAAUGCGUAGAUAUCGGGAGGAACACCUGAGGCGAAGGCGGCUUUCUGGACUGGUCCUGACGCUGAUAUUCGAAAGCUAGGGGAGCAAACAGGAUUAGAUACCCUGGUAGUCCUAGCUGUAAACGAUGGAUACUAGAUCUUGCAUGAUUUUGCUUGGUCGAAGCUAACGCGUUAAGUAUCCCGCCUGGGGAGUACGGUCGCAAGGCUGAAACUUAAAGGAAUUGACGGGG
Molecule: ribosomal RNA, 409 nt
Filed under: uncultured prokaryote
Description: bacterial SSU rRNA
Rfam family: Bacterial small subunit ribosomal RNA
Source: RNAcentral